RNAcentral lists this ribosomal RNA (483 nucleotides) under uncultured bacterium. RNAcentral describes it as "bacterial SSU rRNA". It matches the Rfam family "Bacterial small subunit ribosomal RNA", at positions 328 to 802 of the family's 1533-position model. The record is from RNAcentral.
AUGAAACACUCCUACGGGAGGCAGCAGUGGGGAUUUUUGGACAAUGGGGGCAACCCUGAUCCAGCAAUGCCGCGUGAGUGAAGAAGGCCUUCGGAUCGUAAAACUCUGUUAUUAGGGAAGAACAAAUGUGUAAGUAACUAUGCACGUCUUGGCGGUACCUAAUCAGAAAGCCACGGCUCACUACGUGCCAGCAGCCGCGGUAAUACGUAGGUGGCAAGCGUUAUCCGGAAUUAUUGGGCGUAAAGCGCGCGUAGGCGGUUUUUUAAGUCUGAUGUGAAAGCCCACGGCUCAACCGUGGAGGGUCAUUGGAAACUGGAAAACUUGAGUGCAGAAGAGGAAAGUGGAAUUCCAUGUGUAGCGGUGAAAUGCGCAGAGAUAUGGAGGAACACCAGUGGCGAAGGCGACUUUCUGGUCUGUAACUGACGCUGAUGUGCGAAAGCGUGGGGAUCAAACAGGAUUAGAAACCCUUGUAGUCCGAAGUUC